Molecule: long non-coding RNA, 1412 nt
Filed under: Ananas comosus (pineapple)
Lineage: Eukaryota; Viridiplantae; Streptophyta; Magnoliopsida; Poales; Bromeliaceae
Description: long non-coding RNA (ACOM_LNC017676)
Source: RNAcentral
UUUAAGAAUAUAAAAUAAUUAAAUUUUAAAUAUUAAAUAAUUUUCAAUAUUAAUUAUUAAACUUUUAAUUAAAUAUAAAGAUACGUUCGAGAAGAGUAAUUAUGAAAAAAAAUUGGCCUAAUAAAAACGGUAAAGUAUUCACGAUUUUAUAUUUGGACUCUUGGAUCCGAAAAGUCGGAUGAAAUUUUUUAAAAGCGAUGAAUCGCUAAUCGCCCUUAAUAAAGCGAUGAAUCGUCCAUCAUUUUAAUAUAAAAAUAUAAAAAUUAUAAAUUGCUCGUUGCCUUAUAGAAAAUAUGGUGUACGAUUUACUAUUUUUGAUGGAAAUACCUAUUGUGGUAGUGAGUCCAAAAAUAAGAGUUAUUUGGCUAAAUAAUUUGAAGCUAAUUAUAAAAUAGGCCCAAUUUGCGUAAAAAAUCUACUUAUUUUGGGCUUUUGUAAAAUCGGGCCACCUUUUUCGUUUUUGCAGAUUCAGAUCAUAUUUUUAGCAAACUAACUAAAAUACCCUUAUUACUUUUUCUCUCUCCUCUUUUUUUUCUCUCAUUCUUUUUUUUCUCUCUCUAAAGAACGCACCGAUGGCGGAGACGGAGGCAGAGGCGGAAAUAGCCCGCCUCGCCUCUCACUCUCAUGCUCUCGCCCUCACCCACGCACCCUGCGGCUUCCUCGCCUCUGACCCCGUUAAGACUGCACAGCAACUCCUUUUUUUUUUCCCCUCUCCAACCCUCCUCUACCGCCUCCGACGACGACGCCUUUCUCGCCCUUCCCCGCUUUUUCUCGCCCUUUCCCUCUCCCUCCUCCUUCGUUUCCUUCGCCACUUCCGACGAUGACACCUCUUUGCUGACGCUGAUGCCGCGAAGGUCGCUGCGACGUCGCAGCCUCGAAGCGGGAAGUCCUUAGCAACGUCAUCGCCGACGCAGUGGUCGUUGGCGAAGAGGCAUGACAAAAAAAAAUUGUAGAAAAUAAAUAAUAAAAAAAUAAAGACAAAAAAAAUAGAAGAAAGAAGAAGAUAAUGAAAUUGCACUAUUUAAAAAAUAAUUGCACUGUUUUAAAAUUUUUUACUGUUUUAAAUGAAGGUUGCACUCUUUGAAAAAAAAUUGCACUCUUUGAAAUCACAUUACACUGUUUAGAACAAAAUUGCACUAUUUUGACAGAAUUUACACUAUUUCGUUUUCUAUUUUUUACACUAUUUUUCUUCCAUUCUUUUUCCUCUCUCCUCAUCCUCAUCCUUAUCCUCAUCCUCAUCCUCAUCCUCCACCUCUAGAGAGAGGAUUGGAGAGGCGGUGGUAGCGCAGGAGCGAGCGCACCUCGUCGGGGAACCCCGCGGCACGCAUCCGUCACGACCACGACGCUGGUCUCCCCUCCGCCGCAACCGCCUCCCCCGCGCCUUCCUUCACCGCCGCUGCCUCCCCCGCGCC